AACUAUUAAAUUAGUGUCUUGAAAACACUUAACAGACAAAGUCUAGUAGUUU
Molecule: transfer RNA, 52 nt
Filed under: Metacrangonyx panousei
Lineage: Eukaryota; Metazoa; Arthropoda; Malacostraca; Amphipoda; Metacrangonyctidae
Description: transfer RNA Serine
Source: RNAcentral